This is a long non-coding RNA of Stegodyphus dumicola, 1873 nucleotides long. NCBI's taxonomy places the organism in Eukaryota, Metazoa, Arthropoda, Arachnida, Araneae, Eresidae. The record is from RefSeq and is a predicted model, not a curated record.
AAAGAAGGGUACUUAUCUUAAAAUUCCAGCCUUUCUUUGUACUUCCUCACAUUGUCCGCUGUUUCAUUCUCAUCAAUAUCGCAACUGAAAAACUUUUGAAAACGUGUAGGUAUUGUAGAAGAAUCAGUAUUUCAAUGUAAUUUAAUUGAUAUUCCCCAAGGGUAAAGGAAUUUUUUUUCACUUUUUUACGGAGCGCUGCGAACGUCCAGCCGCUUGCCUCGGUGAUCGCCACUCCAUCCUGAUGUUGAUGUAUCUGCCAUCAAAAGAGAAUGUUAUGGUUUCGAAAUUGGGGUACUUAGUAGUAUGAAAAAUUUCCCUUAUUAAAAUUUUUCGUAUGCAUUGAUUUUAAAUGUUUCUUUUAAAACUUGUGUGAGUAAGGAAAGAAUUACUUUGAAUAAAAGUUUUGUGACUCAAUCCAUUUUACAUCCGCGAUAAAUACUAAUAAUAUUGUGGUAUCUAAGUAAGAUAAAACAGUACCGAGGCUGAUAUCGUGUACUUACUGUAAAGGGAAGAAACUUUUCUCUAGGAGGUGCAUGAGAAAUCAUUUGAAAAAAGAAAUAUUUAUUUAGAAAAAUUUAAUUUAUAUUAGAAUUUAAAAAGAAAUCAUGCAUAUUUACAAACCAGAGGAAUGCCAUCUGUGUAUAAGGUUUGUAAAGAGCCAUUUAGACUAAAGCCUUCUUUAAACGAGUUUUCGGUUAUUUACGCACAAGUGAAAUCGUAUGUGUGUUAGGAUAAAGUCUACUAGAUAAACUGCUUAAUUCUUUCCUGCUAUUGGUUAUAUAUACUAAUUGAUAUUAAGGAAAAAUACUGGAAUACAAUAACAAAAAUUGUCAAAAAGAAUACAAAUAUAUAUCAGAAUAUAAGUGCAUGUAACAGAGAUGUUCCUUGCUGUAGCUUCUUCAUGAGCAUUCAAGUUAGAGCACUUCUCUGAGACUUCUAAAACCAACUCACUGGGUUUACCUGAAGGUCGCCGCUUUUUCGGAUGGCCAAGAGUCUCCUUUCCCCAUCGAUGACGACUAGCUGAUAGCUUUGCACUUUGUAAUCGAUUACGAAGUCUCGAUACUCUGUUUACGUUUUAGGCGGAAUUGUGGAAAUUUUGCGGAACGGAAAAGGGCCUUCACCUUCAUAUUUUAUUUUAUUUAUUUAUUUUUUUGCGGUAUACGAGACUGGGCGCAAUGCGAAUAAAUCUGUAUGAUACACAGAAACUUGCUCAUAUUGCUGAUACAAUGAUCAAGAGUAUUGAUAUGUUUAGUUCAUUUCUGUUGUUAAAAUAAAAAACCGCAAUUGUGCAUGUAAUGAGUGUAAACAAUAAUGAAAAUUUAGAUAUGUCUGUAUUGUUGACUAAGUAGUAAUAAUGCCUGAUUGUAAAAUAUAUAUUAGACUACUGAUUGUAUAUGUACGAUUUAAAGUAAUAAUUACGUAGGGUAGAACACAGCAAAAGAAUCACUGAAUUUUUAUUUAUUUGAAUGACCCAUAAUUUUUGUUUUGUUCAUAGGGAUAUAUCUUUUUUAGGUGAUAUAUCUAUUUUAAUAUAUUGUGUACUUAAUUGUGUGUGCAUAUAUAUACGAAUAAACGGGCCUUAAAACUUGGGUUGAUUUAGUAAAAAAAUUGUGUGUUAUUAUAAACAUUAUAAUACUAUACCACACAAGCACUUUCUUAUAUAUGUAAUGUAAUCUUAGAGAAAUACCAACUGAAUACUUCUUUGAAUAUCUAUAAUAUUCUCUGACUGUGUUGUUUCAUAUACAAUGAUCAAGCAAAGACAGCGUUAAAAUUUUGCUCCGAACAGCUGAGAUGCGUGUCUUAAAUUUUGUACUAAACAGCACAAACUUAUGUCUGGAGGAAAGAAAUUUAUAAAUUUUUGUUUUUGUCUACG